RNAcentral lists this ribosomal RNA (390 nucleotides) under uncultured bacterium. RNAcentral's name for it is "bacterial SSU rRNA". It matches the Rfam family "Bacterial small subunit ribosomal RNA", at positions 29 to 409 of the family's 1533-position model. The record is from RNAcentral.
AAUGAACGCUGGCGGCGCGCCUAAUACAUGCAAGUCGAGCGAGAAGACGUAGCAAUACGUUUGUAAAGCGGCGAACGGGUGAGGAAUACAUGGGUAACCUACCCUAGAGUGGGGAAUAACUAGCCGAAAGGUUAGCUAAUACCGCGUACGCUCCUUGGACUUCGGUUCAGGGAGGAAAGCGAUGCCGAGGGUAUCGCGCUCUUGGAUGGGCUCAUGUCCUAUCAGCUUGNGGUGAGGUAACGGCUCACCAAGGCUUCGACGGGUAGCUGGUCUGAGAGGACGAUCAGCCACACUGGCACUGCGACACGGGCCAGACUCCUACGGGAGGCAGCAGUAAGGAAUAUUGCGCAAUGGGCGAAAAGCCUGACGCAGCGACGCCGCGUGGGGGAG